Long non-coding RNA from Hemicordylus capensis (graceful crag lizard), 787 nucleotides. RefSeq lists it as uncharacterized. NCBI's taxonomy places the organism in Eukaryota, Metazoa, Chordata, Lepidosauria, Squamata, Cordylidae. The transcript is spliced from 3 exons. The record is from RefSeq and is a predicted model, not a curated record.
CAGCCCCUGCAGAAUUUUCUUCUACUUACACCGGGACUGCAGUGCAACUUCCACCCACCCCAACAACGAACCCACCACCAGCCAGCACGCAGUCCCUAUGCCGGAAGCACAUGCAGCUCUGUCCUGAACCAAAUCCAUAAUUGUAGCAUACAGACAUCAUGACUGCAGAAACAGAAAGAACCACCAUUCCUGUCUAUAGUUGAGGAAAAGGUCACAUAGAAAGUUGUUUGAGCAACAGGCACUCCCAGGAUUUGUUAUGCAAUAGAUUCUCAGCAGCAAGCAAAAGAAAAAGAACCAGUUUGCUUGUAACCCUUCAAUGAUCCGCUCCGGAUGAGUGGAGAGGCAGGAGGAGGACUGUACUAUAAACCCUCUCGUUUGGGCUUGACUAGCUAACAAUCUUAAUCUUCCCUGCUGUUUGUUAUUGAUCUUGCAGUUCUAAAGCAUGCAACCGAGGUGGUAAAUGACAGGUUACCAAAGCAUACUCUUCUCUGAAUUUACUCUAUGCAUUCCUGAAUGCUUGUUUAUUGCUAGUGUUAUAGUCUUGUGGGGUGGAAGAAGCAGGUAUUUCCCUAUAGAAAUAGCCUGCCAUAUGGUUUGGAAGUCAUCCAGGGAGCUCAUGGGUAAGUUGUACCAUAUGAUGGUAUCCAUGCAGUAUUUACAGGGAGGAUCCUAUGGGCACUACCUUGUUCACAGAUUAUUGUUAUAUGAAAAGUUAUGUGAAGAACCCAUUCCGCAUUAAAUUUCCACAAGUGUGUGCUCACAGAGUGGCUUCAGAGUUAUCAUUUGA